UGAGUUGGUUAGGCGGCCGCGUGAGUAUCAAACUCCCGAGGAACGUCCGGGCUCUACAGGGAACGGUGGUGGAUAACAUCCACUCGGGGUGACCCGCAGGCUAGUGCCACAGAAAGUAAACCGCCGCAGUAAUGCGGUAAGGGUGAAAGGGUGAGGUAAGAGCUCACCGCGUAACGAGUGAUCGUUGCGGCAUGGUAAACCCCACCGAGAGCAAGACCGAGUAGCGUACGCUGAGGCGUCCCGUUGAGUGCGCGGGUAGGUUGCUUGAGCUUAUUGGUAACGAUAAGCCUAGAUGGAUGGUCGCCACGCUUAUUUUAAGCGGACAAAACCCGGCGUAUCGGCCAACUCAUUCG
Molecule: RNase P RNA, 353 nt
Filed under: Arcanobacterium buesumense
Lineage: Bacteria; Bacillati; Actinomycetota; Actinomycetes; Actinomycetales; Actinomycetaceae
Description: Arcanobacterium sp. 2701 RNase P RNA component class A
Rfam family: Bacterial RNase P class A
About the family: Ribonuclease P (RNase P) is a ubiquitous endoribonuclease, found in archaea, bacteria and eukarya as well as chloroplasts and mitochondria. Its best characterised activity is the generation of mature 5'-ends of tRNAs by cleaving the 5'-leader elements of precursor-tRNAs.
Source: RNAcentral